GACGAACGCUGGCGGCGUGCCUAAUACAUGCAAGUAGAACGCUGAAGAGAGGAGCUUGCUCUUCUUGUAUGAGUUGCGAACGGGUGAGUAACGCGUAGGUAACCUGCCUUGUAGCGGGGGAUAACUAUUGGAAACGAUAGCUAAUACCGCAUAACAAUGGAUGACACAUGUCAUUUAUUUGAAAGGGGCAAUUGCUCCACUACAAGAUGGACUUGCGUUGUAUUAGCUAGUUGGGGAGGGAAUGGCUCACCUAGGCGACGAUACAAAGCCGGCCUGAGAGGGGGAUCGGCCAACAUGGGAAUGAGACCAGGCCCAGACUCCCAAGGGAGGCAGCAGUAGGGGAUCUUCGGGAAAUGGGGCAACCCUGACCGAGCAACGCCGCGUGAGUGAAGGAGGUUUUCGGAUCGUAAAGCUCUGUUGUAAGUCAAGAACGGGUGUGAGAGUGGAAAGUUCACACUGUGACGGUAGCUAACCAGAAAGGGACGGCUAACUACGUG
This 497-nucleotide ribosomal RNA is filed under the name uncultured bacterium. RNAcentral's name for it is "partial 16S ribosomal RNA". It matches the Rfam family "Bacterial small subunit ribosomal RNA", at positions 28 to 507 of the family's 1533-position model. The record is from RNAcentral.